This 72-nucleotide transfer RNA is filed under the name Camelus bactrianus (Bactrian camel). It matches the Rfam family "tRNA". From Rfam's summary of the family: Transfer RNA (tRNA) molecules are approximately 80 nucleotides in length. Their secondary structure includes four short double-helical elements and three loops (D, anti-codon, and T loops). Further hydrogen bonds mediate the characteristic L-shaped molecular structure. tRNAs have two regions of fundamental functional importance: the anti-codon, which is responsible for specific mRNA codon recognition, and the 3' end, to which the tRNAs corresponding amino acid is attached (by aminoacyl-tRNA synthetases). tRNAs cope with the degeneracy of the genetic code in two manners: having more than one tRNA (with a specific anti-codon) for a particular amino acid; and 'wobble' base-pairing, i.e. permitting non-standard base-pairing at the 3rd anti-codon position. The record is from Rfam by way of RNAcentral. RNAcentral also lists the same sequence under 2 other names. Lineage: Eukaryota; Metazoa; Chordata; Mammalia; Artiodactyla; Camelidae.
GAGGGUAUAGCUCAGGGGUAGAGUGUGUGCCUAGCAUGCACAGGGUCCUGGAUUCAAUCCCCAGUUCCUCCA